GCCGAAGUGGUGGAAUGGCAGACACGCUAGAUUCAGGGUCUAGUGGAGGCAACUCCGUGGGGGUUCAAAUCCCCCCUUCGGCA
Molecule: transfer RNA, 83 nt
Filed under: Nitrospirota bacterium
Lineage: Bacteria; Pseudomonadati; Nitrospirota
Also listed under: 1 other name
Description: Nitrospirae bacterium (groundwater metagenome) tRNA-Leu
Rfam family: tRNA
About the family: Transfer RNA (tRNA) molecules are approximately 80 nucleotides in length.
Source: RNAcentral